GGGUGAGUAACACGUGGGUAAUCUACCUUCGGGUGCGGAAUAACCCAGGCAAACUUGGGCUAAUACCGCAUAAUGCAGCGGCACCUAAGUGGUGAUUAGUUGUUAAAGCGGGGGAUCGCAAGACCUCGCGCCUGAAGAGGAGCCUGCGGCAGAUUAGUUAGUUGGCAGGGUAAUGGCCUACCAAGACGAUGAUCGGUAUCCGGCCUGAGAGGGCGCACGGACACACUGGAACUGAAACACGGUCCAGACUCCUACGGGAGGCAGCAGUGGGGAAUUUUGCGCAAUGGGGGAAACCCUGACGCAGCAACGCCGCGUGGAGGAUGAAGUCCUUCGGGACGUAAACUCCUUUCGAUCGGGACGAUUAUGACGGUACCGGAAGAAGAAGCCCCGGCUAACUUCGUGCCAGCAGCCGCGGUAAUACGAGGGGGGCGAGCGUUGUUCGGAAUUAUUGGGCG
Molecule: ribosomal RNA, 455 nt
Filed under: uncultured bacterium
Lineage: Bacteria
Description: bacterial SSU rRNA
Rfam family: Bacterial small subunit ribosomal RNA
Source: RNAcentral